RNAcentral lists this ribosomal RNA (447 nucleotides) under uncultured bacterium. RNAcentral's name for it is "bacterial SSU rRNA". It matches the Rfam family "Bacterial small subunit ribosomal RNA", at positions 355 to 825 of the family's 1533-position model. The record is from RNAcentral.
UGGGGAAUAUUGGACAAUGGGCGCAAGCCUGAUCCAGCCAUGCCGCGUGAGUGACGAAGGCCUUAGGGUUGUAAAGCUCUUUUGGCGGGGAAGAUAAUGACGGUACCCGCAGAAUAAGCUCCGGCUAACUUCGUGCCAGCAGCCGCGGUAAUACGAAGGGAGCUAGCGUUGUUCGGAAUCACUGGGCGUAAAGCGCACGUAGGUGGGCAGUUAAGUCAGGGGUGAAAGCCCGAGGCUCAACCUCGGAAUUGCCUCUGAUACUGGCUGUCUAGAGUUCGAGAGAGGUGAGUGGAAUUCCUAGUGUAGAGGUGAAAUUCGUAGAUAUUAGGAAGAACACCGGUGGCGAAGGCGGCUCACUGGCUCGAUACUGACACUGAGGUGCGAAAGCGUGGGGAGCAAACAGGAUUAGAUACCCAGGUAGUCCCUGAGCGGGCUGGCAAGGCGCAU